This 325-nucleotide ribosomal RNA is filed under the name uncultured eukaryote. RNAcentral describes it as "partial 18S ribosomal RNA". It matches the Rfam family "Eukaryotic small subunit ribosomal RNA", at positions 1470 to 1796 of the family's 1831-position model. The record is from RNAcentral.
CCCUUAGAUGUUCUGGGCCGCACGCGCGCUACACUGAUGCAUUCAACGAGCCUAUCCUUGACCGACAGGUCCGGGUAAUCUUUGAAUCUACAUCGUGACGGGGAUAGAUUAUUGCAAUUAUUAAUCUUCAACGAGGAAUGCCUAGUAGGCGCAAGUCAUCAGCUUGCGUCGAUUACGUCCCUGCCCUUUGUACACACCGCCCGUCGCUCCUACCGAUUGGGUGUGCUGGUGAAAUGUUCGGAUCGGCCGUUUGUCGCGGUUUCCGCGUCAUGUGGCUGAGAAGUUCAUUAAACCCUCCCACCUAGAGGAAGGAGAAGUCGUAACA